This 254-nucleotide ribosomal RNA is filed under the name uncultured bacterium. RNAcentral's name for it is "partial 16S ribosomal RNA". It matches the Rfam family "Bacterial small subunit ribosomal RNA", at positions 524 to 776 of the family's 1533-position model. The record is from RNAcentral.
UACGGAGGGGGCAAGCGUUGUCCGGAUUUAUUGGGCGUAAAGAGCUCGUAGGUGGUUCGGUAAGUCGGAUGUGAAAUCUCCAGGCUCAACCUGGAGGGGUCAUUCGAUACUGCCGUGACUAGAGGUCGGUAGGGGAGUGUGGAAUUCCUGGUGGAGCGGUGAAAUGCGCAGAUAUCAGGAGGAACACCCGUAGCGAAGGCGGCACUCUGGGCCGAUACUGACACUGAGGAGCGAAAGCGUGGGGAGCGAACAGG